This 378-nucleotide unclassified non-coding RNA is filed under the name plant metagenome. RNAcentral's name for it is "partial contains 5.8S ribosomal RNA, internal transcribed spacer 2, and large subunit ribosomal RNA". The stretch from base 1 to 105 matches the Rfam family "5.8S ribosomal RNA", at positions 50 to 154 of the family's 154-position model. The record is from RNAcentral.
GAAAUGCGAUAAGUAAUGUGAAUUGCAGAAUUCAGUGAAUCAUCGAAUCUUUGAACGCACCUUGCGCUCCUUGGUAUUCCUUGGAGCAUGCCUGUUUGAGUAUCAUGAAAUCUUCAAAGUAAAACUUUUGUUAACUCAAUUGGUUUCUACUUUGGUAUUGGAGGUCUUUGCAGCUUCACACCUUCUCCUCUUUGUUCAUUAGCUGGAUCUCAGUGUUAUGCUUGGUUCCACUCGGCGUGAUAAGUUAUCUAUCGCUGAGGACACUGUAAAAGGUGGCCAAGGUAAAUGCAGAUGAACCGCUUCUAAUAGUCCAUUGACUUGGACAAUACUUUUAUGAUCUGAUCUCAAAUCAGGUAGGACUACCCGCUGAACUUAAGC